UACGGGGGAUGCAAGCGUUAUCCGGAAUUAUUGGGCGUAAAGCGCCUGUAGGUGGUUUAAUAAGUCUGUUGUUAAAGCCUAGGGCUUAACCUUAGAAAAGCAAUGGAAACUGAUAGACUAGAGUAUGGCAGGGGUAGAGGGAAUUUCUAGUGUAGCGGUGAAAUGCGUAGAUAUUAGAAAGAACACCAGUGGCGAAAGCGCUCUACUGGACCAUUACUGACACUCAGAGGCGAAAGCUAGGGUAGCAAAAGGGAUUAGAUACCCCUGUAGUCCUAGCCGUAAACGAUGGAUACUAGAUGUUGUGCGUAAUGUACAGUAUCGUAGCUAACGCGUUAAGUAUCCCGCCUGGGGAGUACGCUCGCAAGGGUG
RNAcentral lists this ribosomal RNA (369 nucleotides) under uncultured phototrophic eukaryote. Its description in RNAcentral is "SSU rRNA". It matches the Rfam family "Bacterial small subunit ribosomal RNA", at positions 524 to 896 of the family's 1533-position model. The record is from RNAcentral.